AUACUUACCUGGACGGGGUCAGUGGGCGAUCAACAAGGUCCAUGGCCUAGGUUGGUGACCUCCAUUGCACUUUGGAAGGGUGCCUGCCUAAGGUCCGCACAAGUGGCCAAACCUACGUUAUAAUUUAUGGCAGUGGGGCCUGCGUCUGCGCGGCCUCUAC
Capsicum annuum is the source of this 160-nucleotide non-coding RNA. The record is from Rfam. Lineage: Eukaryota; Viridiplantae; Streptophyta; Magnoliopsida; Solanales; Solanaceae.